RNAcentral lists this ribosomal RNA (245 nucleotides) under uncultured bacterium. RNAcentral describes it as "partial small subunit ribosomal RNA". It matches the Rfam family "Bacterial small subunit ribosomal RNA", at positions 26 to 285 of the family's 1533-position model. The record is from RNAcentral.
AGAGUGAACGCUGGCGGCGUGCCUAACACAUGCAAGUCGCACGAGAAAGGGACUUCGGUCCUGAGUACAGUGGCGCACGGGUGAGUAACACGUGAAUAAUCUACCUCCGAGUGGGGAAUAACUGAGAGAAAUCUUAGCUAAUACCGCAUAACACUUACGAGUCAAAGCAGCAAUGCGCUUGGAGAGGAGUUCGCGGCAGAUUAGUUAGUUGGCGGGGUAAUGGCCCACCAAGACGAUGAUCUGUA